RNAcentral lists this ribosomal RNA (425 nucleotides) under uncultured bacterium. RNAcentral's name for it is "partial 16S ribosomal RNA". It matches the Rfam family "Bacterial small subunit ribosomal RNA", at positions 354 to 796 of the family's 1533-position model. The record is from RNAcentral.
GUGGGGAAUAUUGGACAAUGGGCGCAAGCCUGAUCCAGCCAUGCCGCGUGAGUGAUGAAGGCCUUAGGGUUGUAAAGCUCUUUCAGUGGGGACGAUAAUGACGGUACCCACAGAAGAAGCCCCGGCUAACUUCGUGCCAGCAGCCGCGGUAAUACGAAGGGGGCUAGCGUUGUUCGGAUUUACUGGGCGUAAAGCGCACGUAGGCGGAUCGUUAAGUCGGGGGUGAAAUCCUGGAGCUCAACUCCAGAACUGCCUUCGAUACUGGCGAUCUUGAGUCCGGAAGAGGUAAGUGGAACUCCUAGUGUAGAGGUGGAAUUCGUAGAUAUUAGGAAGAACACCAGUGGCGAAGGCGGCUCACUGGUCCGGUACUGACGCUGAGGUGCGAAAGCGUGGGGAGCAAACAGGAUUAGAAACCCCAGUAGUCC